GACCACUGUGUAAAACGAAAGAGGAAGAACAGAUAUUCUGAAAUAUUUACAUGUUUUUUUUUUUUUUCUCUGCAGAUUCCUUUAAGUGAAGCAACCAUAGCUUGGAUUUAAUUGUGUAACCUUGAUACUUAGUGCCAAGCCCUUCAGAUCGCUACUAGAUUUGGCAAGGUUAAAAGAAAUAAGACGUGAUUUGAAGAGAAAGCAGUGUCCAGACCUUAGACGAAAUACCUCAUCCAUCUUUACGUAAUACAACACUUAAAUGAUGAGAGAGAGAAGAAUUCUGUGUGUGGACAAGUACUAGAUAUAGAUCAAUAACAAUCCAAGAUUAAAUGGCUAUCCUGUAGUUUACCAGGCACAAAGACUUGCAAUCUAAUGUUCAAAACCAUUAUCUUAUUUUAAAUGCCAUUCUUUGAAUUGUGUGAGAA
RNAcentral lists this long non-coding RNA (425 nucleotides) under Catharus ustulatus (Swainson's thrush). RNAcentral's name for it is "lncRNA (ENSCUSG00005006500.1)". Lineage: Eukaryota; Metazoa; Chordata; Aves; Passeriformes; Turdidae. The record is from RNAcentral.